UACGUAGGGUGCAAGCGUUGUCCCGGAAUUAUUGGCGUAAAGAGCUCGUAGGCGGUCUGUCACGUCGGCUGUGAAUCCCGAGGCUCAACCUCGGUCUGCAGUCGAUACGGCAACUAGAGUAUUGCAGGGAGACUGGAAUUCCUGGUGUAGCGGUGAAAUGCGCAGAUAUCAGGAGGAACACCGAUGGCGAAGGCAGCUCGCUGGGACGGUACUGAACGCUGAGGCGCGAAAGCGUGGGGAGCAAACAGG
RNAcentral lists this ribosomal RNA (249 nucleotides) under uncultured bacterium. RNAcentral describes it as "partial 16S ribosomal RNA". It matches the Rfam family "Bacterial small subunit ribosomal RNA", at positions 524 to 776 of the family's 1533-position model. The record is from RNAcentral.